GACGAACGCUGGCGGCGUGCUUAACACAUGCAAGUCGAACGGAAAGGCCCUGCUUUUGUGGGGUGCUCGAGUGGCGAACGGGUGAGUAACACGUGAGUAACCUGCCCUUUACGUUGGGAUAACUUCAGGAAACUGGUGCUAAUACCUGAUAGGAGCGCCUGCUGCAUGGUGGGGGUUGGAAAGUUUCGGCGGUUGGGGGUGGACUCGCGGCUUAUCAGCUUGUUGGUGGGGUAGUUGCUUACCAAGGCUUUGACGGGUAGCCGGCCUGAGAGGGUGACCGGCCACAUUGGGACUGAGAUACGGCCCAGACUCCUACGGGAGGCAGCAGUGGGGAAUAUUGCACAAUGGGCGGAAGCCUGAUGCAGCAACGCCGCGUGCGGGAUGACGGCCUUCGGGUUGUAAACCGCUUUCGCCUGUGACGAAGCGUGAGUGACGGUAAUGGGUAAAGAAGCACCGGCUAACUACGUG
Molecule: ribosomal RNA, 468 nt
Filed under: uncultured bacterium
Lineage: Bacteria
Description: partial 16S ribosomal RNA
Rfam family: Bacterial small subunit ribosomal RNA
Source: RNAcentral